GCAUCCAUAGCUGAAUGGUUAAAGCGACCAACUCAUAAUUGGUAAAUUUAUCGGUUCAAUUCCUGCUGGAUGCA
Molecule: non-coding RNA, 74 nt
Organism: Triticum aestivum (bread wheat)
Lineage: Eukaryota; Viridiplantae; Streptophyta; Magnoliopsida; Poales; Poaceae
Source: Rfam